Molecule: long non-coding RNA, 1184 nt
Filed under: Monodelphis domestica (gray short-tailed opossum)
Lineage: Eukaryota; Metazoa; Chordata; Mammalia; Didelphimorphia; Didelphidae
Description: lncRNA (ENSMODG00000037881.1)
Source: RNAcentral
UAAAAAUAGUUAUCAUCUGGAAGAGGAGAAAGAUUAGUUUUCUUUCUUUCCUUUCUCCCUUCCUUUCUCUUUCUUUCUCUCUCCUCAUUUCUCUCUCCUCAUUUCUCCCUUUCUCCCUUUCUUUCUUCUUUCCUUCCUUCCUUUUUCUCUUUCUUUCCUUCUCCCUUCCUUUCUCUCUCUUCAUUUCUCCCUUUCUUCCUUCUUUCUUUCCUUCCUUUUUCUCUUUAUUUCCUUCUCCCUUUCCAUCUCUCUCCCUUUCUUUCUCUUUCUUCCUUCUUUCCUUCCUUUUUCUCUUUCUUUCCUUCUUUCUUCCUUUCUCUCUCUUUCUUCCUUUUUUCCUUCCUUUUUCUCUUUCUUUCCUUCUCCCUUUCCUUCUCUCUCCAUUUCUCUUUCUCUCCAUUUCUCUUUCUCUCCAUUUCUCUCUCUCUCUCUCUCUCUCUCUCUCUCUCUCUCUCUCUCUCUCUCUCUCUCUCUCUCUCUCUCUCUCUCUCUCUCUCUCUCUCUCUCCAGAACUAGGAACCGAGUGAAAUUAAAGAGAGAUCAAUUUAGUUCUGUUGUAAGAAAGAAUUCCCUUAACAGAUCAUAUAUUGUAGCUCCAAAGGUGAAAGGAACCUCAGGGGUCUUCUGGUUUUACAGAUGAGGAAAUCAAAGCCCAGGACUGAGAUGACUUGCUCAAAGUAGGUAAAAGAUGGAAUCUCAUCCAGGUAAAAAUGGAGUCAGAAUGGAAUGCAGGACCUCCAACUCGAAAGACAGAGCUGUUUCUACUGUACUGUGUUAAACUGAGAAGAACUGUUCUUUAGCCUAAGGCUCUCUAAAGCUUAUGUGGUUUUGAGGAAAGGGGCAUAGUGGCAAAUUGAAGGAUUGGGUCUGAGAUUUAAUCUUCAUAUAGGGAAGCUGCCUCUACUGGUAUAGAUCAGUUCCUUGUAUGUAACUGACUUUCUUAGUGUUACCAGUGGCAAAGCACAGUAUAAAGACCUUCAUCUCUCUUGGUUGGAAGCCAUUUCAAUAUGGCAACCAAGUCCCAUUGGAGAAAGCUGUCUUCAUCUGAAGGAAGAUGCUAUUUGCUGCAGAUCAAAGAGUGCAGAGCAUCUGGCGGAAGGCACACAACUUGCAGGGGGUAGAGAUAGGACUAGAAACUAGAUCUUCUACGUACCAAGGCUGGCUCUUUACCUACUAUGUCCUGG